RNAcentral lists this ribosomal RNA (497 nucleotides) under uncultured bacterium. RNAcentral describes it as "partial 16S ribosomal RNA". It matches the Rfam family "Bacterial small subunit ribosomal RNA", at positions 28 to 507 of the family's 1533-position model. The record is from RNAcentral.
GAUGAACGCUGGCGGCGUGCCUAAUACAUGCAAGUCGAGCGAACAGACGAGGAGCUUGCUCCACUGACGUUAGCGGCGGACGGGUGAGUAACACGUGGAUAACCUACCUAUAAAACUGGGAUAACUUCGGGAAACCGGAGCUCAUACCGGAUAAUAUAUUGAACGGCAUGGUUCAAUAGUUAAAGACAGUUUUGCUGUCGCUUACAGAUGGAUCGGCGACGCAGUAGCUAGUUGGUGAGGUCACGGCUCACCAAGGCAACGAUGUGUAGCCGGCCUGAGAGGACGACCGGCCACACUGGGACUGAGACACGGCCCAGACUCCUACGGGAGGCAGCAGGGGGGAAUUUUGGACAAUGGGCGCAAUCCUGAUCCAGCAAUGCCGCGUGCAGGAAGAAGGCCUUCGGGUUGUAAACUGCUUUUGUACGGAACGAAACGGCUCUGGUUAAUACCCGGGCGUAAUGACGGUACCGAAAGAAUAAGCACCGGCUAACUACGUG